Prunus avium (sweet cherry) is the source of this 819-nucleotide non-coding RNA. The record is from RefSeq and is a predicted model, not a curated record. NCBI's taxonomy places the organism in Eukaryota, Viridiplantae, Streptophyta, Magnoliopsida, Rosales, Rosaceae.
CAAUCAACAACUCAACACAAAACAUGUGGUUUACAUAAACGCACUUAGUCAACAAAAUUUAAUAACGUGGGUCCCCAUAUGCCCAAUCAUUGGAAGGACCAAUUGAUAUAUUGGAGCCACUCUUGGCUGAUUGCUCCAUACUCCUUGUUGAGCAAUAAUCUCAGAGGAUAAACAAGUAUCCUAAACAAGCUUCAGUUAUGGUGAGGUCUGAUCAAAAGCCAUCUGACUCUCAAAAGAUGGCAGAAGUACAGAUCAAAAAGUUUGCAUCUCGGAAAUCUGCCAUGAAAUCGGAUACGAUAUUUGUAAUAUUCUAUAUUUUAUCUGUGUCACUGGAUCCUUUGUUCCUCUACAGUCUUAUCCUCAACGACGAUAGGAAGUGUGCGUAGUGGACACAAAAUUUUAAAAAAUAGCUAUUGUUUUGCGAUCAUUGGCAGAUCUCUCCUACCUAUUGCACAUCAGUAUUCGUUUUAUGCGUCGUAUUUUUAUUUUUAUUCAGUCUCUUAUUUUGGGUAUUCCUUAUUCACGACGAAAAGAUGUUUGGAGCAUGACAAUGGCGAUUUUAACUGCUCUUCCUGUUCCGCAAGUAAGAAAACCAUUUCCUAAUUAUGUAUAAUUUAAUCAAGGCUUUCCUCUCCUCCUAAUAAUAAUAUCUAUAAGUUGAGCUUGAGACUAGAGACUAAUGAAUACUAUAUAUGUAUAUGUGGCUGUGUGAGGGUGGAAGGAUUUUUUCUUGUCAAAUACGACCCUUUUGUAGAGAAAUAACUAGGGUUUAGAGAAGAAUAAGAAGUAGAACACCCCACGAUGAGUAUUUUGGUUGUA